RNAcentral lists this long non-coding RNA (487 nucleotides) under Mytilus galloprovincialis (Mediterranean mussel). Lineage: Eukaryota; Metazoa; Mollusca; Bivalvia; Mytilida; Mytilidae. The record is from RNAcentral.
AUUUUGUCUAAAACAUCUCUCACUGACAUCGUCCAUGAAAUAUCCGUUUCAAGAGUGCAAAAUCCAAUGCAAAAAGUAAAAUCUUCAAACUGCACAAGCUUUAACAGUACAGUUUUGUCAUCGUCGACUCCUAUUAUUGAGCAAAAGUCUAUCACAGUUGAUAAAGAGCAUAUAAGCAAGUCCAAGGUAUCACUUAGACAAAAAACUCAAAUUACACAGCAAUCGAACAAGCAUAUCAUUUGAUAACAUAUUAAUUUUUGGAAGUUCAAUAACUAAAGGCAUUAAAACAACAAAUUUGAAAGAAAAUGUACGUGUCAACACAAAUCGGGGUGCUACCGUUUAUGAUUUCGAGAAAAAGAUUGCGGAGAUUGAUUUGUCACCUUUUUCAACAAUUGUACUACAGUUUGGUAGAAAUGAUGCAAUAUUGAGAGAAGAAGUAUUCAAAAGCAAAUACAACAAGAAUGUGUCCAAAGUACACGGAUGCCCC